RNAcentral lists this unclassified non-coding RNA (1202 nucleotides) under Hevea brasiliensis (rubber tree). Lineage: Eukaryota; Viridiplantae; Streptophyta; Magnoliopsida; Malpighiales; Euphorbiaceae. The record is from RNAcentral.
AGAAGAAGAGUAGAGGAGAGAGAGAGGAAAGAAUGUGAAGAUGAGAGAAAGAGAGAAAAAAAGGAAGAAAAUACCUGGUUGCUUUGUUUCUCCUUGUGUUUUGCAUUUUGUAGGUGGUGUAAAGUGAAGCUACUUCAGGGUUUUCUUUUGUUUUAUCUUGUUAAAACAAAAAUUAUAAAAAAAAAGGAGAAAGUUUCCAUUUCUUUGAAGAGGCAUCGCCUCUUCGACCCAUAACCUCUUGCCUUGAAGGUCUUAGGUGCGCGCCUUUUCUCAUUUGCCUUGCCUCAGCUAGGCGAGGCGUCAGGGCCUCGACUUGCCUCGCUUGGCGCCUUUUACAACAUUGUUUGAAAUAGAUAGAAACUGAAACAUUGAUGUUCCACUCAUCAUUACUACUACAACCAUUAUGGGUGCUACUGCUCCUUCCAUGGAAGACACCUACACCACCACUUGAAUUGAUGGCAUCAUUUAGGACCUUAGGAUUGUUGGUGUGAAGCUUUUCGAAAAAAAAAGGAAACGAAGCAUCUGAGAGAGUUAUUGUGUCGCAUACAGUGGUGGUGAUUGUCAUAAUGGAGAGUAGGCAAACUGGUUUUAAGGAGAGAAAUUGGUAUUGGGGUUUAAAUAGAGUUUGUGAGAAGAGAUGAGCUGAAGUAGAGCCAUAGAUAGAAGAACAGGGCGAGAGGUUUAAUUUGGGGAUUGGAAGUGCUUCUGUUAGAUUUAACAGAAAUUUUAAAGGGAAUUUUCAAUUGAAUUAAAGUCUAAAGUUUAUGGUAGAAUUGUUAAAAAAAAGUUUAGGAUAUAAUUGUAAAAUAUGACAAAAUUUAGAUUUUUUUGGUCAUUUCCCCUUUAAUUAUUUAUUUUUUGAAAACCAUUCUGGAGUUCUUUAUAUGUAUAAUAUGAUAUAUAGUUGUUUGAUUGUUUUGUAAGCUUUUGUGAUUGAUAGGGAAUUUGAUUUCCCUUGGCAAUUUUCUGAACUAGUGUAGAUUCUAUUUCUCUUCUUUUGUGUUUGAUACUUGAUAUAGUUAAAAACUCUGUUUUUCCUUCCUUUGUCAUGACUUGAAGUAGGACCAUCUGGAAAACCUUUAACUAAUAUUUGUUUCGGUUUGCAUAAUUUUCUUAUUCAUUUGUAUGUUAAUUGGUUUUUUCUGCACUAGGUGUUACGCUACUGUUCAACGAGCCUUCAGAUGCUCGCAAACCUGAUAUAA